AUCCAGCUGACGGACGAGUCCCAAAUAGGACGAAACGCGCAUUCUGGAU
This is a non-coding RNA of Trichobilharzia regenti, 49 nucleotides long. NCBI's taxonomy places the organism in Eukaryota, Metazoa, Platyhelminthes, Trematoda, Strigeidida, Schistosomatidae. The record is from Rfam.